CGGGAUGAAGGUUUCACAGAACUAAAUUAUUUUUAAAGCUUAGAGUAAUUUGGGUUGUAAGUUAAAAUACUUACGAGUAUUUAAGGGGCGAUAAGACCCUAGCAGCUUUAUUUAUGUUUAGGUUUAUAGUUUGAUAAAAAGUAAGGUAGAAGAAAAAUUUAACUGGGGUAGUUAUUUCUAAGAAAUGGAAAGUUUAAUAAACGGGUGGUUUUAGGCCCUUAAAAUUAGGACAACUGGAAAAAGUUACUUUAGGGUUAACAGUGUAAUAAUUUUGGAAAGGCCUUAUUGAUAAAAUUGAUUGCAACCUCGAUGUUGAAUUAGAAAAUCGGCCUCAGGGAGAAAGGGGGUUUGAUGGUUUGUUCAACCAUUAAUUUUCUACAUGAUUU
RNAcentral lists this ribosomal RNA (386 nucleotides) under Harpiniinae sp. BOLD:ADF5814. RNAcentral describes it as "partial 16S ribosomal RNA". The stretch from base 56 to 386 matches the Rfam family "Bacterial large subunit ribosomal RNA", at positions 2048 to 2606 of the family's 2925-position model. The record is from RNAcentral. Lineage: Eukaryota; Metazoa; Arthropoda; Malacostraca; Amphipoda; Phoxocephalidae.